UUUUAUUAUUAAUUUAGAUUUAUUAAUCUUUAGGAAAUUUAUUAAUAUGUUAUAUUAAACAUUAAAAUAUAGGUAAUUAUGAUUAAAUUAGUAUAAUUUUAAUGUUUAAUUAUCUACAUUUUUAAGAUUGAAUUAAGGAAUUCGGCAAAUUUAGUUUCUGCCUGUUUAUUAAAAACAUGUCUUUUUGUGAUUAUUUGAAGUCGGGCCUGCCCUAUGAUUAUUUAAAUGGCCGCGGUAUUUUGACCGUGCAAAGGUAGCAUAAUAAUUAGUUUCUUAAUUAGAAGCUGGUAUGAAUGGUUUGACAAGAAAAUUUCUGUCUCGAUUUAAUUAUUAGAAUUUAACUUUUGAGUCAAAAGGCUUAAAUGUUUUUAAAAGACGAGAAGACCCUAUAGAAUUUUAUAUUUGAUUUAAUUAGAAUUUUAUGGUUUAUUUAUUUUUAAUUAGGUUUAGUAUUUUGUUGGGGUGAUGGAAAAACUUAACUAACUUUUUCUUAUUUUAUUCAUUAAUUUAUGA
RNAcentral lists this ribosomal RNA (513 nucleotides) under Platycerus rugosus. RNAcentral's name for it is "partial 16S ribosomal RNA". The stretch from base 127 to 328 matches the Rfam family "Archaeal large subunit ribosomal RNA", at positions 1796 to 2107 of the family's 2987-position model. Lineage: Eukaryota; Metazoa; Arthropoda; Insecta; Coleoptera; Lucanidae. The record is from RNAcentral.